GGGCCCCAAAAGGUUACUGACUUCAGCCAAACUCCGAAUGCCGGUAAGUGAGAGCGCAGCAGUGAGACGGUGGGGGAUAAGCUUCAUCGUCGAGAGGGAAACAACCCAGACCACCAUCUAAGGUCCCUAAGCGCGUGCUAAGUGGGAAAGGAUGUGGAGUUGCAUAGACAACCAGGAGGUUGGCUUAGAAGCAGCCACCCUUGAAAGAGUGCGUAAUAGCUCACUGGUCAAGUGAUUCCGCGCCGACAAUGUAACGGGGCUCAAGCACGCCACCGAAGUUGUGGCAUUUAUAUUAUAGGCAGGCCUUCGUGGUCCAGCCGUAUGGAUGGGUAGGAGAGCGUCGUGUGGCCAGCGAAGCGGCGGUGUGAACCAGCCGUGGAGGCCACACGAGUGAGAAUGCAGGCAUGAGUAGCGAAAGACGGGUGAGAAACCCGUCCUCCGAAAGACCAAGGGUUCCAGGGCCAGGCUAAUCCGCCCUGGGUAAGUCGGGACCUAAGGCGAGGCCGACAGGCGUAGUCGAUGGACAACGGGUUGAUAUUCCCGUACCGAUGAAGAACCGCCCAAGACAAUCCAGUAAUGCUAAGUGUCUGAAUCCUUGAUUCGAUCCCUUCGGGGUGACGGUCUUGGCCUAGCACACGACCCUACGCUGGGGCGUUUAGCGUAUUAACAGGUGUGACGCAGGAAGGUAGCUGAGCCGGGCGAUGGUUGUCCCGGUCUAAGGAUGUAGGGCAGAAGAUAGGCAAAUCCGUCUUCUAUGUAGCCUGAGACCCGAUGGGUAGUCCUCACGGACGAAAUCAGUGAUCCUAUGCUGCCGAGAAAAGCAUCGACGCGAGGUUCCAAUCGCCCGUACCCCAAACCGACUCAGGUGGUCAGGUAGAGAAUACUAAGGAGAUCGAGAGAAUCGUGGUUAAGGAACUCGGCAAAAUGCCCCCGUAACUUCGGGAGAAGGGGGGCCUGAGGCGUGUAGGGAUUUACUCCUGAAGCGUUUGAAGGCCGCAGAGACCAGUGGGAAGCGACUGUUUACUAAAAACACAGGUCCGUGCUAAGUCGCAAGACGAUGUAUACGGACUGACGCCUGCCCGGUGCUGGAAGGUUAAGAGGAACGGUUAGCACGCAAGUGCGAAGCUGAGAAUUUAAGCCCCAGUAAACGGCGGUGGUAACUAUAACCAUCCUAAGGUAGCGAAAUUCCUUGUCGGGUAAGUUCCGACCUGCACGAAUGGCGUAACGACUUCCCAGCUGUCUCAACCGCGAACUCGGCGAAAUUGCACUACGAGUAAAGAUGCUCGUUACGCGCAGCAGGACGGAAAGACCCCGUGACCUUUACUACAGCUUGGUAUUGGUGUUCGGUGUGGCUUGUGUAGGAUAGGUGGGAGACUGUGAAGCUCGGACGCUAGUUCGGGUGGAGUCAUUGUUGAAAUACCACUCUGGUCACUCUGGAUAUCUAACUUCGAACCGUAAUCCGGUUCAGGGACAGUGCCUGGUGGGUAGUUUAACUGGGGCGGUUGCCUCCUAAAGAGUAACGGAGGCGCCCAAAGGUUCCCUCAACCUGGUUGGUAAUCAGGUGUCGAGUGUAAGUGCACAAGGGAGCUUGACUGUGAGACUGACAAGUCGAGCAGGGACGAAAGUCGGGACUAGUGAUCCGGCAGUGGCUUGUGGAAGCGCUGUCGCUCAACGGAUAAAAGGUACCUCGGGGAUAACAGGCUGAUCUUGCCCAAGAGUCCAUAUCGACGGCAUGGUUUGGCACCUCGAUGUCGGCUCGUCGCAUCCUGGGGCUGGAGUAGGUCCCAAGGGUUGGGCUGUUCGCCCAUUAAAGCGGUACGCGAGCUGGGUUUAGAACGUCGUGAGACAGUUCGGUCCCUAUCCGCUGCGCGCGUAGGAAAUUUGAGAAGAUCUAUCCCUAGUACGAGAGGACCGGGAUGGACGAACCUCUGGUGUGUCAGUUGUUCCGCCAGGAGCACCGCUGAUUAGCUACGUUCGGAACGGAUAACCGCUGAAAGCAUCUAAGCGGGAAGCCGGCUUCGAGAUGAGAUUUCCAUCCCUUUUAGGGUGAAGGCUCCCGGCUAGACUACCGGGUUGAUAGGCAGGAUGUGGAAGCGAGGACUAAAGACUCGUGGAGCUGACCUGUACUAAUAAGCCGAUAUCUUGAAAACA
RNAcentral lists this ribosomal RNA (2151 nucleotides) under Clavibacter michiganensis subsp. michiganensis. Its description in RNAcentral is "partial 23S ribosomal RNA". It matches the Rfam family "Bacterial large subunit ribosomal RNA", at positions 923 to 2925 of the family's 2925-position model. Lineage: Bacteria; Bacillati; Actinomycetota; Actinomycetes; Micrococcales; Microbacteriaceae. The record is from RNAcentral.